CCUACGGGUGGCUGCAGUGGGGAAUAUUGCACAAUGGGCGCAAGCCUGAUGCAGCCAUGCCGCGUGUGUGAAGAAGGCCUUCGGGUUGUAAAGCACUUUCAGCGGGGAGGAAGGCGGUGAGGUUAAUAACCUCAUCGAUUGACGUUACCCGCAGAAGAAGCACCGGCUAACUCCGUGCCAGCAGCCGCGGUAAUACGGAGGGUGCAAGCGUUAAUCGGAAUUACUGGGCGUAAAGCGCACGCAGGCGGUCUGUCAAGUCGGAUGUGAAAUCCCCGGGCUCAACCUGGGAACUGCAUUCGAAACUGGCAGGCUAGAGUCUUGUAGAGGGGGGUAGAAUUCCAGGUGUAGCGGUGAAAUGCGUAGAGAUCUGGAGGAACACCGGUGGCGAAGGCGGCCCCCUGGACAAAGACUGACGCUCAGGUGCGAAAGUGUGGGGAGCAAACAGGAUUAGAUACCCGGGUAGUC
This 465-nucleotide ribosomal RNA is filed under the name uncultured Klebsiella sp. RNAcentral describes it as "bacterial SSU rRNA". It matches the Rfam family "Bacterial small subunit ribosomal RNA", at positions 338 to 795 of the family's 1533-position model. Lineage: Bacteria; Pseudomonadati; Pseudomonadota; Gammaproteobacteria; Enterobacterales; Enterobacteriaceae. The record is from RNAcentral.